CCACAAUGCAAAUUUGGAGAAGUACCCUAGGGGUACCGGGGGCUUCUCCCGUUA
This 54-nucleotide transfer RNA is filed under the name Phyllodactylus tuberculosus (yellowbelly gecko). RNAcentral describes it as "partial tRNA-Cys". The record is from RNAcentral. Lineage: Eukaryota; Metazoa; Chordata; Lepidosauria; Squamata; Phyllodactylidae.